Molecule: ribosomal RNA, 447 nt
Filed under: uncultured bacterium
Lineage: Bacteria
Description: bacterial SSU rRNA
Rfam family: Bacterial small subunit ribosomal RNA
Source: RNAcentral
UCGGGAAUUUUGGGCAAUGGGCGAAAGCCUGAUCCAGCCAUGCCGCGUGGAUGAUGAAGGCCUUAGGGUUGUAAAAUCCUUUCGUUGGGGACGAUAAUGACGGUACCCAAAGAAGAAGCUCCGGCUAACUUCGUGCCAGCAGCCGCGGUAAUACGAAGGGGGCUAGCGUUGUUCGGAUUUACUGGGCGUAAAGCGCGUGUAGGCGGAUUUGUAAGUUGGGGGUGAAAUCCCGAGGCUCAACCUCGGAACUGCCUCCAAAACUACAAGUCUGGACCUAAGUAGAGGCAAGUGGAAUUGCGAGUGUAGAGGUGAAAUUCGUAGAUAUUCGCAGGAACACCAGUGGCGAAGGCGACUUGCUGGACUUAUGGUGACGCUGAGACGCGAAAGCGUGGGGAGCAAACAGGAUUAGAUACCCAAGUAGUCCCUGAGCGGGCUGGCAAGGCGCAU